UACGGAGGGUGCAAGCGUUAUCCGGAUUCACUGGGUUUAAAGGGUGCGUAGGUGGGUUGGUAAGUCAGUGGUGAAAUCUCCGAGCUUAACUUGGAAACUGCCAUUGAUACUAUCAAUCUUGAAUAUUGUGGAGGUCAGCGGAAUAUGUCAUGUAGCGGUGAAAUGCUUAGAGAUGACAUAGAACACCAAUUGCGAAGGCAGCUGGCUACGCAUAUAUUGACACUGAGGCACGAAAGCGUGGGGAUCAAACAGG
This 253-nucleotide ribosomal RNA is filed under the name uncultured bacterium. RNAcentral describes it as "partial 16S ribosomal RNA". It matches the Rfam family "Bacterial small subunit ribosomal RNA", at positions 524 to 776 of the family's 1533-position model. The record is from RNAcentral.